Molecule: ribosomal RNA, 527 nt
Filed under: Fusarium solani
Lineage: Eukaryota; Fungi; Ascomycota; Sordariomycetes; Hypocreales; Nectriaceae
Description: eukaryotic LSU rRNA
Rfam family: 5.8S ribosomal RNA (bases 184-337)
Source: RNAcentral
UUCCGUAGGGUGAACCUGCGGAGGGAUCAUUACCGAGUUAUACAACUCAUCAACCCUGUGAACAUACCUAUAACGUUGCCUCGGCGGGAACAGACGGCCCCGUAACACGGGCCGCCCCCGCCAGAGGACCCCCUAACUCUGUUUCUAUAAUGUUUCUUCUGAGUAAACAAGCAAAUAAAUUAAAACUUUCAACAACGGAUCUCUUGGCUCUGGCAUCGAUGAAGAACGCAGCGAAAUGCGAUAAGUAAUGUGAAUUGCAGAAUUCAGUGAAUCAUCGAAUCUUUGAACGCACAUUGCGCCCGCCAGUAUUCUGGCGGGCAUGCCUGUUCGAGCGUCAUUACAACCCUCAGGCCCCCGGGCCUGGCGUUGGGGAUCGGCGGAAGCCCCCUGCGGGCACAACGCCGUCCCCCAAAUACAGUGGCGGUCCCGCCGCAGCUUCCAUUGCGUAGUAGCUAACACCUCGCAACUGGAGAGCGGCGCGGCCACGCCGUAAAACACCCAACUUCUGAAUGUUGACCUCGAAUCAG